Molecule: long non-coding RNA, 1697 nt
Organism: Rhinopithecus bieti (black snub-nosed monkey)
Lineage: Eukaryota; Metazoa; Chordata; Mammalia; Primates; Cercopithecidae
Source: Ensembl
AGGCUGCAGUGAGCCAAGGAAAGAAAAAAAAAAGAGAGAGAGAGAGAGAGAGGAAGGAAGGAAGGAAUAAAGAGAAAGAAAGAAAUAAAGAAAGAAAGAAAGAAAGAAAGAAAGAAAGAAAGAAAGAAAGAAAAGAAAGAAAAGAAAAGAAAGAAACCAGUGGAGGUGGACAUGUAACAGGACCAUCGGAAGGAAACAGACGUUUACCUAAGCGGCAUAAAGGCGACAUAGCGUAAUGGGCUAGCCACGGCUGUCUCCCCACCACUCCUCACCUGAGCUCUCUGUGCCUGAAUUUCCAUCGUCGGUCGGCCUCCUCUGGGUUGACCUCCAGUGAUCCCUCUUGACACCCCCUCAGACACACCAACCCUUCCACUAAUGUCUUCUUUGAUCCAUCCCUCAAUGUUCUGGCCUCCCCACAGCCUCCCCGGUACAGCUCCAGCUCGAUCCCUGAGCCCUUUGGCAGCCGAGGGUCCCCCCGGAAGGCGGCCGCCGAUGGCGCAGACACCCCGUUCGGACGAUCAGAGAGUGCCCCAACCCUGCACCCCUACAGCCCGCUGUCCUCCAAGGGCCGGCCGUCGUCACCACGCACUCCGCUCUACCUGCAGCCGGACGCCUACGGCAGCUUGGACCGCGCGCCCUCGCCCCGACCCCGCGCCUUCGAUGGCUCAGGCAGCUCCCUUGGCCGUGCGCCCUCCCCGCGGCCCGGGCCAGGCCCGCUCCGCCAGCAGGGUCCUCCCACGCCUUUCGACUUCCUGGGCCGCGCAGGCUCCCCCCGCGGCAGCCCCCUGGCGGAGGGGCCCCAGGCCUUCUUCCCAGAGCGCGGGCCUUCACCGCGCCCCCCUGCCACCGCCUACGACGCGCCAGCGUCCGCCUUCGGGAGCUCCCUGCUAGGCUCGGGCGGUAGCGCCUUCGCCCCGCCUCUGCGCGCACAAGACGACCUGACACUGCGCCGGCGGCCCCCGAAAGCCUGGAACGAGUCUGACCUGGACGUGGCGUACGAGAAGAAGCCUUCGCAGACAGCGAGCUAUGAACGCCUGGAUGUCUUCGCCCGGCCCGCCUCGCCGAGCCUGCAGUUGUUGCCUUGGAGGGAGAGCAGCCUGGAUGGACUGGGGGCCACCGGCAAGGUGAGGAGGCGACGCCUGGGGAGGAGAGGCGGGGGAAGGUCGAGGAGGAGCCGGGUCGGGGAGCGGGGUCACGGCCAGUCUCUCUCUGGUGGCUGCGAUCUGGGUCUCAGCGCCCUUUCCCACGCUCUCCCUUCACUGAGCCGGGUUUCUGCCCCUUCCUCACCCUUUCUUCUCCCUCACUCCCAGGGCUUCCCUCACCUCCUCUCCCUCCCUCCCCUCCACCUUCCCUCUCUCAACCGAUCCCCUUCUCCCUUCCCUCUUCCCCAGGACAACCUCACCAGCGCCACCCUGCCGCGCAAUUACAAGGUCUCUCCUCUGGCCAGCGACCGGCGUUCCGACACGGGCAGCUACCGCCGCUCGCUGGGCUCCGCGGGGCCGUCAGGCACUUUGCCUCGCAGCUGGCAGCCCGUCAGCCGCAUCCCCAUGCCCCCCUCCAGUCCCCAGCCCCGCGGGGCCCCGCGCCAGCGUCCCAUUCCCCUCAGCAUGAUCUUCAAGCUGCAGAAUGCCUUCUGGGAGCACGGAGCCAGCCGCGCCAUGCUCCCUGGGUCCCCCCUCUUCACCAGAGCACCCCUG